Long non-coding RNA from Oreochromis niloticus (Nile tilapia), 721 nucleotides. RefSeq lists it as uncharacterized. The record is from RefSeq and is a predicted model, not a curated record. The transcript has 2 exons. Lineage: Eukaryota; Metazoa; Chordata; Actinopteri; Cichliformes; Cichlidae.
AGCUCGUACAGUGUGCCUGCAUUCCAGCUUCUUAGACUCUACGCAAGUGGACAGAGUAUCAGUGUUUGGCCACUCUUACAGACACCGACUUCUGUCAACUCACUGCUACUGAUCAGGCACCUCACUCCAGGAAGACAGAGGGCUGUAAGCCUGUCAUCGUUUCCAGUGUGGCUUUGUAUUCUUGGGGUAGCAUCAGAUUUUUCCCACAAAUAUUCAAAGAUUUAUAUGCAGUGAUCGGAUGUGGUGGAGCUUUGUUAUCUGUGUGGAAAACAUCUGUUUGUGAUGAUAUUUACAAUGAGGCUUUAAGGUGACGGUUUCCAUGUAAUUUCAGUCCUUUUACUAAGCAAAAACAUGUUUGCAAUUAACAUAUUUUUUUCAGUUUUGUCUUUUGGAUUUAUGGUUAACAUUCCUCUGUGACAGCAAAUACUAAACUGGUCCAAGUAACCAGCAUAUCAUUGGUCAAAGGCAAAAAGGACCACAUGUCACGCUAGCAAUGAAGUUUUGACUGUGUUUGUGUCACCAGAUUUAACAAACAAUAUCAGACAUAUGAAACUGAACUCUGGAUUAAUGUGCAGAUGUUUUUUGUGUUUUUUUUUUAAUUGUUGAAUAAUUAUUUUGUAGGACAAACCCAAUUUAUUUACCCAAACAAUGUAACUUGUUUGGUUAAAUAGUGGAUUAAUAUAUCUAAGUCUAUAAGUAUAGCAAGCUGAAUUCAUACAAA